GAGGGUGUAGCUCAGUGGUAGAGUGCGUGCUUAGCAUGCAAAAAGUCCUGGGUUCAAUCCCCAGUACCUCCA
RNAcentral lists this transfer RNA (72 nucleotides) under Camelus bactrianus (Bactrian camel). It matches the Rfam family "tRNA". From Rfam's summary of the family: Transfer RNA (tRNA) molecules are approximately 80 nucleotides in length. Their secondary structure includes four short double-helical elements and three loops (D, anti-codon, and T loops). Lineage: Eukaryota; Metazoa; Chordata; Mammalia; Artiodactyla; Camelidae. RNAcentral also lists the same sequence under 1 other name. The record is from Rfam by way of RNAcentral.